This 509-nucleotide ribosomal RNA is filed under the name uncultured Planctomycetota bacterium. RNAcentral's name for it is "bacterial SSU rRNA". It matches the Rfam family "Bacterial small subunit ribosomal RNA", at positions 1 to 523 of the family's 1533-position model. Lineage: Bacteria; Pseudomonadati; Planctomycetota. The record is from RNAcentral.
CGCCCUUGAGUUUGAUCAUGGCUCAGAAUGAACGUUGGCGGCGUGGAUUAGGCAUGCAAGUCGAGCGAGAACCGUAGCAAUACGGGGAAAGCGGCCUAAGGGAGAGUAACGCGUGGAUACCUACCUCCAGGACCAGGAUAGCCGCGGGAAACUGCGGGUAAUACUGGAUAAUGUCCCCGGACCAAUGGGUGCGAUUCCGCCGGGAGAUGGGUCCGCGUCCUAUUAGCUAGUUGGUGAGGUAACGGCUCACCAAGGCAACGAUGGGUACGGGGUGUGAGAGCAUGCCCCCGCUCACUGGGACUGAGACACUGCCCAGACACCUACGGGUGGCUGCAGUCGAGGAUCUUCGGCAAUGGGCGCAAGCCUGACCGAGCGACGCCGCGUGCGGGAUGAAGUUUUUUUUGUUGUAAACCGCUGUCAGUGGGGAGGAAAUCUAUAAGGGUUCUCUCUUAUAGUUGACCUAUCCGCAGAGGAAGUGUGGGCUAAGCUCGUGCCAGCAGCCGCGGUAA